This 482-nucleotide ribosomal RNA is filed under the name uncultured bacterium. RNAcentral's name for it is "partial 16S ribosomal RNA". It matches the Rfam family "Bacterial small subunit ribosomal RNA", at positions 30 to 507 of the family's 1533-position model. The record is from RNAcentral.
AUUGAACGCUGGCGGCAUGCUUUACACAUGCAAGUCGAACGGUAACAGGCCGCAAGGUGCUGACGAGUGGCGAACGGGUGCGUAAUGCAUCGGAACGUGCCCAGUCGUGGGGGAUAACUACUCGAAAGAGUAGCUAAUACCGCAUACGAUCUAUGGAUGAAAGCGGGGGACCGUAAGGCCUCGCGCGAUUGGAGCGGCCGAUGUCAGAUUAGGUAGUUGGUGGGGUAAAGGCUCACCAAGCCAACGAUCUGUAGCUGGUCUGAGAGGACGACCAGCCACACUGGGACUGAGACACGGCCCAGACUCCUACGGGAGGCAGCAGUGGGGAAUUUUGGACAAUGGGCGCAAGCCUGAUCCAGCAAUGCCGCGUGCAGGAAGAAGGCCUUCGGGUUGUAAACUGCUUUUGUACGGAACGAAACGGCUCUGGUUAAUACCCGGGGCUAAUGACGGUACCGUAAGAAUAAGCACCGGCUAACUAUGUG